Mus musculus (house mouse) is the source of this 11749-nucleotide long non-coding RNA. RefSeq annotates it as predicted gene, 53899. NCBI's taxonomy places the organism in Eukaryota, Metazoa, Chordata, Mammalia, Rodentia, Muridae. The record is from RefSeq and is a predicted model, not a curated record. The transcript has 2 exons.
UUUUUUCUCUUCUCCUUUUUUCAAAAAUAAUUUGGGGGUUGGGGCAGACAUGGAAGGACUGGGAAAAGAGUGUGAUCAGGUUGUAUGAUAUCAAAUUCCCAAAGAAUCAAGAAAAAUAUUACAUUAAAAAAAAGGUAUAAAGUAACAGUGGAAAUUGACCUCUGACUUUCACAUGUACACACAUGAACUAGCAUACCCACACCACAUAUAUACAUAUGCAUACCAAGCAUACACACAGACAUAUGCACACACACACACACACACACAGAUUUAAGAUGACGAUGACAACAACAGACCCAAAUAAGAAACAUAUCUUACUUUUUUGUUGCUGUGAUAAAACACCAUGACCAAGGUAACUUCUAGAAGGAAGAGUUUAUUUGGGGCUGACGGUUCCAGAGGAAUAAACGUCCAUCACUCUUAUGGUGGGGAUCAUGACAGCAGGGAAGAACAUGGUGCUGAGCCAGCUCACAUCUCCAUCCACAAGCAGGAAGCACAGAGAGAACCAAUUCAAAAUGGAGUGAAUUUUAAAACCUAAGCCCAUCUCCAGGGACAUACUUCCUCCAGCAAGGCCACACCUCCUAACCCUCUCCCAAAACCACCAACAGGGCACCAAGUAUUCAAAUGCCUGAGACAUAUGGACGUUGCUUAUGCCAAGUGUUUGACCCCCAACAAGAAAAGUAACUUUGUAGCACUCUCUCGGGCCUCUGUUUGCAAAAAGAGUUGAGCAAAAAGGAGAGAAAAGUCUCACUCUUGUGAGAACCUCAGCAGGAAACAGAUUGAAGCCAGCACCAUAAUCACGGCUCAGGCCCUGGCCUACCGUUGAUGGAGCCCUCAUCCUCUCUUACUGUCCAGUUCCACCUCCUGGCCUUUCUUCUCCCUUCUCAACCCAGAAGAGAGAUCUCACGCUGUGAUCCAGAGCCCUGGGCUCACUUGUGGAUACAAGGCCACAGUGCUUGCCUUGUGGGAUGGGACUGAACCACGCAUCAGAUCCCGGAAACUGCACUGGGCUAAAUAGGCAGAACCCCACUGCUGUGCUACCCACCCACUGACCUGAUACCCUACCUGCCCCCGACCUCUGGCUGGUUCCUCUCUCCUGCUCCAGUAAACCCACAGUGCCGGGGGGAUGCUGGACCCUACUUGAACUGGAGUCGGUGGGUUACUUCCAACCUGUGCACCUCGUGUUCUUGGGAGAGGCGGAGAUGGAUUUUCCUUCUCCCCGACCCAUGCUAGGGCAGCAAACAGGCUCUAGGAAGUGGGAGUCCUGGGCUCUUACCUGAAUCCCAUCACUGUUUGGGGUGUGAUAGGGAGAGCCCCUGCCACGUAGGGUCAAUUUACUUCUCUUAAAGGGGCUUGUACUUAGGGACACCAUGCUGAGGCUCUGGUUACUCUCUUGGCUGGCCUUGAGGAAACCCCCAUGGCUUGAGUCUGCACUGAGAUUACCAUUGGGAUCUUCUGUACUUGUGGAUGGCUCUCUACCACCUAUGUAUCUAUAGCUAUCCCAAAGCUCGGACAGCCAGGAAUCAGGCUGCUUGCUGUCUUAGCGUCAUAGUUCUGCCCCUAGCUAGCUCUUGGAGUCACGGGCACGCUCAAAGAAGGCCCUAGCACCUGCCGCAGUGGGACUUCUGUGUUCUCAGCAGCUGCUGUCACCAGCAUUUUGAUAAAUGUCUUAGGAAACCGAACUUAGUGGUAAGAAUCAAAGCAGAGAUUGGUGUCAAAGGAUGGCGGUGGAGCCUGAGGCUUCCGGUUGGGGGUGGGGCACCGGAGUGUGUGUGCGCGAUAAGCCUGCAGGGGGCACCCAGAGAUUCAAAGCCAGCUCUGCCUCAGUGGUGGUCAUGGGCCCUUUCUGGAAGGAUGGAAAGGUACUGAUAGUUAACCAGUGACAUACCUGCAGGGUUAACCUUUGCUUGGCCAGGUGUGCACAGCCUCCCACGUGGCUGGGAGCCUGGGGAGGAGGGGCAAGAGGGGGCAUGGGCUGAGAACCUUUGCUGAGGACCCGAGAGGGCGAGAGCUAGCUGUCCCCAUAGUGCCUGAUGCUUUUAUUUCUAGACUUUUCUACUUAAGAGUAAUUUAACAUCUACGUGGAAAUGCUGAAGUAAGAAACCACUACAAGAAAAUAAGAGAAUUUCCAGAAUCCAUCUGGCUUUUAUAAGGCGAUGGAGAAUAAACCAGAAGCCAAGGUCACAGAUGGGGAUGAAGAAGGGAACCCAGGCUUCUCUUUUGAAGAUGGCAAGUUCGGAGGAUGCAUUACAAACAUCUUGCCUGUUAUGGAUGCCAGCUUGGGCCAGGCUGUGUGCUGAGAACAGGUAAGGUAGGUCUGGAGGAGGGCAACACCCAGUGAGGAGAGAAGCUGAGUGCCCCCCCUCCUUCAACUGUGUCACCCACCAUUUUGUGCCCCUGGGUCUGUGCCUUGCCACUCUUUUGUUUGUGUUUGCAUCCAGAUGGACCAUUUACUUACUCUGCUAUUCAGUGCCCCGGUGACCAUGCUGUGCUUCCUGUCAAGCCUGAGACAAGUAAGACAGGCAAGCAUGGUGUGUAGAAUGAAGAUCUCCCCGUACGGUAACACCCUGAGCUCCAGCAAGCCUGCUGUGGGUCCCAUGUGCUACCUGAGUAUGUAAACAUGCCCUUUGUCCCAACAGGUAAACUUCCCCUGAACCUGGUUUUAAUAUCAACAUAGAUCUCAGCCCAGAAAUUUCAGAGCUAGGGAAUUUCUACUGCAGCAAGCCAGUGGCCAUGAGGACAACAGACAUGGCUUGUAGUAAUUCUGGGGACACCAAAAAAUUUGAAGACUCACCAUUAUUGUUUGAAUGUGAGCAGUGGUCUAUGGAAUCCUCUUUGAACACUUGGUACCUGGCUAACAGUGCUGUUCUGGGAAGCUAGGGAGCCUUUGGGAAGAGAGCCUGGAAGGUGACAGCUGUUUCUACCCCACUUUCCCCAAGACAGGGUCUUUCUGUGUAGCCCUGGCUGUCUUGGAACUCAAUCUGUAGACCAGGCUGUCCUUCAACUUGGAUACCCCAGUGCUGGAUUAAAGGUGUGGGCCACCACUACUUCUUUUCUUUCUUUCUUUCUUUCUUUCUUUCUUUCUUUCUUUCUUUCUUUCUUUCUUUCUUUCUUUCUUUCUUUCUUUCUUUCUUUCUUUCUUUCUUUCUUUCUUCCUUCCUUCCUUCCUUCCUUCCUUCCUUCCUUCCUUCCUUCCUUCCUUCCUUCCUUCUCCUUCUUCUCUUCUUUUCUUCGAGACAGGGUUUCUCCAUGUAGCCCUGGCUGUCCUGGAACUCACUUUGUAGACCAGGCCGGCCUCUGCCUCAGAAAUCCACCUGCCUCUGCCUCAGGAGUGCACCACCACACCCGGUGCUUGUUUCUACUUUUUAUUUGCUGCUACAGUGUGGCCAUCCCAAGCCUCCACUGUCACAGAAUUCACACCAGUCACGUCUUCCUGCAACAAUGGAUUGCUGCCUGGAACCAAGAGCUAAAAUCAACAUCUCUUUUCUUAAGCUGUCUCUGUCGGAUAUUCUGUUUCAGCAAAAAUUAAUACAUUUGUGGUCAUUAAAACAGGUGAGUCACUUGUCAUUUCAGCAUUCAGUAGCCUGAGGCAGGAGGAAUAUCAUGAGUUUGAAGCCAAUGAAGAUCUUAUUACAGAAAACCAAGUCAAAACAAACAAACAAACAAACAAACAAAACCCAAAAAAGCUUUUGCUGGGUAAAUAUGGGAUGUUUCCCAAGUUGCACAUGACCCCACAGUACAUUUAUAAUUGCAACGAAAAAAAAAAUUAAAUCCCACCCCCUGCCACUCCUUAACCUACCCAGUUGUCUCACUGUCCUUGCACCUUUCAUCAAAGAUCCUGUUGUGUUGUGUACAUUGUGUUAAGAUCCGUUUCUGUAUAUUCAAUAGCUAAUUCUACACUGGGGAUUGCUAAAUACUAGUCAUUAUCUUGGCAUUAUUUCUAUAGUCCAUCACUGGUCUCAUAUUUUGUAAAUAACUUGUUCCUUCCUCACCUGUCUAAGGCAAUCUAGAAUUGUAAAUGAUUGGCUGAUGGCCAAUAGUUGCAUAGGAAGUAGAAGGCAGAUUUGCAGGCAGAGAGGGGGACUCUGGGAGAAGAAUUGAGAGGUGAGAUUCACCAGCAGACAUGGAGGUGGACGAAUGGACCAGAGCGGAGCAGAGAGAUAGAGCUAGCCACAUGGAUUAGUCAGGAUAGAGUAGUUAGGCAGACUUCCCAGCUAAGGCCUAAGCUUUACAAUGUUAGUAAGCCUCUGUGUCCUUAUUUAUACUGCUGGCAGGUCUACGAAAGUUCUGUUAUACUGUUGGCCAAGUGAGAUUGAGUCUACAUUCCCACUGGCUUGGAGAAGUGGUUCCACUUAAAUACUCCACUACUGUUGGCCUCACAUCCACAUGCUACUAACUGGACUCAGUGGGUUAGUAGGAUAGUAAGAUGUGAAAUAGGGGUGUGUGUGUGUGUGUGUGUGUGUGUGUGUGUGUGUGUGUGCGCGCACACACACGCAUGACAUGGCAUAACAGAUUACAAGAUAGAUGAAAUGACCCUUGGGCAGGGGUCUGCCUGUUGAAGACUGAUCUGUAUUUAUAACUCAGUGUAACACAGAAAAGCUAGGACAGGCUUUGUUCUGUAAUGGUUAGCACUUCUAAACUGUUGGUGGUUUGAGUAAGAAUGGCCUCCAUAGGCUCAUGUUUGGAAACUUUGUCGAAUAGCUAAAAUGGUUUGGGAAAGAGUAGGAGGUGUGGCCUUGUUGGAAGGCACUUGUCACUGGGGGUGGGCUUUGAGGCUUCAAAAGCCCACAUCAUUCCUGGUGUCUCUCUGCCUUUCGUUUGUGGAUCAGAUAGAAGCUCUCAGCUAGUGUUCCAUUGUCGUGCCUACCAGCCUGCAACCAUGCUCAGACUCUUUGCAACCAUGAGUUUCAAACUUAAAAACAAAAAACAAAUCAAAACCCCCAAACCAAACAAAAAACCAAAAAAAAAAAAAAAAAACCAACCAAACAAAAAAAACCCAAAACAAGUUGAUAUGCCCUGUUAUCAAUCUAUUUAAAAAUCAAAUAGAUUUCCAAUCCCUAAGAGAUCCCAACCCUGGAGAGUUUUCCCAUGUACUCACGUAAGUGACAUAGCCCUCAGCACUUUUCUGCUUGGGCCUGGACUAUGGGAAAUUAUAGAUUUGGAUCCCCAAACCAUAAUGUCGGAUUUGGGAUGGGUGACGUCAAGUGUGCUAAGAGCGAAUUUCAAGGGGGUGACAACUGCCUUUCCACUUUUGGUGAAACUUUGGAUGGAUGGAAAAAAUGCUGCCGUGCCCCACGAAGCAAGGGCGCAACUUCAGCUUAAAGACUCAUCUCCGUCCCAGCACCCCAGCGGCAGAGGCAGGCAGAUCAAUCUCUGAGGUCUAAGCCAACUUGGUCUACGUUAGUUUCAGGCCUGCCAAGGGUAGAGAGACCCUGUGCCCCAAAACCAAACACUCAUACUUACCUGUAUGGCAUUCCUCCAGAAAACUCACUGGCUUAUUUUAAAGUUACUAUGUGCACAUCAUUCGUGGUGGGUAGAAGAGUGAAUGUAGGGGAAGGCAGUUGAGAAUGGAGAUGCUGUGGGCUAUACCAGCGAGUGUGCAAGGCUGUGCCACUGUGUGCCAGAAGCAGGAGAAACUUGGUGUGGGAGAAACAUUUAUGAGAGACGGUUGCUGUCGGCCGACACUGGAUCAUCAGAGCCUUGUGGACAGUGAAUAUCAAUGCUUGCUCUAAAGACAGCCCUGUCUUAUUAGGGAGAAACAUUCACUGUGAGUCAAAAGUUCAAAAAUAGGGGCUGGAGAGAUGGCUCAGCGGUUAAGAGCACUGACUGCUCUUCCAGAGGUCCUGUAGGCAUUUGACCCCUCUCCCUGAGGACUUGGACUCUUUCAGCACUUUGGAUAACCAGUUUGAAAGCUGGGCAUUUUGGGACUAGAGAGAUGGCUCAGUGGUUAAGAACAUUGACUGCCCUUCCAGAGGUCCUGAGUUCAAUUCCCAGCAAUCACAUGGUGGCUCACAACCAUCUGUAAUGGGAUCCAAUGCCCUCUUCUGGUGUGUCUGAGGAUAGUGACAGUGUGCUCACAUAUAUAAAUCUUAGAAAACAAAACAAACAAAAAACUGGGCACCCACAGUGACCAAACCACAGUGAUGCACUUUAAAGACUUUUAAAAAAUUUAUGUGGGUGUACAUACAGGAAGCCAGAAGAGGGUGUUAGAUUCCCCUGGAGCUAGAAUUAGAAGUGGUUGUGAGUUGUCCCAUGUGGGUGCUAGAAACCGAAUUUGGGUCAUCUGGAAGAACAGCUAGUACUCUUAGCCACUGGGCCAGCUCUCCAUCUGGGGACACGCCCACUUGCUUUUUGACUUUCUUAUUAAUGACUAGCUCACUAACUGCUGUCACAGCCUCGUGAGUCAUCUGCAUACCUGAGUGCUGACACUGAGUGGAAGCUCAAUGGAAGUGCAGGGAAGGGGGAUGGAGAGUUGAGCUAGUUUUGCUGGUAGACUGGUAAAUGGAUCUUCAAGGAGCUGGAUACAUGGUUGCUCUUUUAGAAGAAAGCAGCCUGACUGAGGAAGCCAGGAAAGCCAGCAGAAGCCUGUGGCCACCCUUUUCUCAUAACUGAGAUAGACAGAUGUCACGCACCUUCAGAGUGAUGGGUGCCAUGGAAGGGAACCAGGGAGGGUCAAAGGACAGUGCUGGGAAGGGACUGUGCAGAUGGGUGGUUAGGUCUUCCCAGAAGGAUGCUUAGAUCAUGACCAAGCUAGAGCUGAGCUUGGUUAAGAACCGAAGAUAAGAAUGAGCUCAGCUGGCUGGGCAGGGCAGAGCCAGGCCCAGAGGCAGGAGAGAAUAGCAACUCAGAGCUCAGACCUGUCUGGCGAUGCUGUCCCCAUGGGAGAUGCAGGGUAGAGGAGAGGAGGAUGAAGGGUUUAUGGGCGGUGCUGUUAGGCUCAGUGAAAACUGAUCAGGAAGAGAAUGGUAUGGGUGAUUGAGCAAAAUAUUUUAUUUCUUUAACAAAGUCUCACUAUGUAGACUAGGCUGGCCUUGAACUCAGAGAUCCACCCGCUUCUGCCUCCUGAUAGCUGUGAUUAGUGGUAUUCACCAUCCCUCCUGGCCGGAAUACAGGUGUAUGCCACUUUCUAGUAUACCAUGUUUUGGUCAGCAGACUCCUUUGGCCUUCUUACCAUUAGCCUUCUUUUCCCAAGCGCUUUAGUUACCACAGUCACCACUCACUGCUCAGUUCACAGCCCCAGGGAACUGCUGUGGCAGGAAUGGCCCCCCAUCUUUGAUGCUGAAACCCUCACAUCCAGUUAUCAAGCCCCCGAAAGCCACCUGUAUCACCUUUUUACCACACAGAGCUUCUGGUGACUGGAUGUGUCCCUAAUGGUGAGAAACAAGCUUCCACUGGCAGCUACUCAGUUUAUGGUACAGACUGUUGUUGGAUUUAGUGACAUUUUGAGAUGUACUUAGGGCCAGAAAUACACCAGGCAGACAGGAUCUGGGCUGCCUGAUUGGCCUCUGCCAUUUCCCACGUGGCUUAGGACAAGAUCCAUGACUCAAUUUCAGCGCUCAGUGAGAAGACAUGGCCAGGCUCAGUUUCUGUCUCCUCGGAAAUGAACACACUAUCCUGUCACUGUGUCACGGAUGUACAAACACAGCCCGGGUCAGAGUCAAAGGCCUUUAGUGGCAGUGGCAGUGUGGGUGGUAAGAGAAUCAGCACAGGGGACACUCCAGUGAGCCGCAGCUCUCCAGGCAUGUGUUGCUGCUGUGUGUUUGGGGAAUCUGCCAGUUCUGGGGCCCACAGAGGCAGCCGAGAGGCCAGAGGUCACUGUGCGGGACAGCACCUGGGACUGACCUGCUGCGCUCACAUCAUGGCUGAUUCCUCAUCCGGAAGACUGGGUGGCAGGAGAGUGAAGGGCAAGCAGAGGCAGAGGGUAGCAGCUUUGUCUAGGUUGCCAUGGAGAAGAGAGCUUGGGAUUUUAGUGGGAGAAAAAAAUUAAAAAAUUUAAGAUCGAAAGCCUUGGUCAGGAAAAGGGAAGAGAGGGGACAGGAAACCCUUAGCUGAUGAAAUGGGAAGGUUAGGUGCAGAGCACGGGGAUGGGGUGGGGUGUGGGGUACCUCACCUGAGAGCUGAAGACCAUUAGGGCAGGUAAGGAGAAGGAAGACGCCAAGGUUACAUAUCUGGCAGCAGAAAUCCACUUGGGAGUCUGGGAGGAUCUCCAUGCUUCCUGUGACUUAGAAAGGCAGUGAUCGGGGAAACUUUAGGUAUCUGGGAUAUCGGCAGAGAAACGACCAGGGAGUGGUGGUUGACGGCCAGUCUAACAGCAGAGGCAUUCCCCACGGUGAUGGGGAUCAGGAGACAGGCAGCAGAAGCCAGGGAAGCAGGCACUUACCUCAGGAGUGUUCAGCGGUUCAGUGGAGCUGGCAAAUGGUGCCAGGGGCCCUGAAAGUGGCGCUGCAGCUGGAGGGUGAAGCUCACCUCAGACGGAUGGCAGCCUGCUGCCAGCAGAGCAGCUGGAGGAGCCACCUCACUCCUAGCUCCUGGCCACCCAGAAGCCUUUCAGGAAGAAGUGCUAUGGGUUCUCUUCCUCUUUCCAGGUUAGAGCCUGGAGUUCAGGCAAGAAAGAAGGAGCCAAAACGCCAGGGGUGGUGUUUCUCUCUUUUAUUUAAAAACAGUGCUUCAUUACCAUUUGCAAAGGCUGAGGCAGGGCCCCUCCUUUGCUAAGAGUUUAUAAAAGCCAGCAACAUGAUCAAUAAUUUAUACACAUGGAGAGUAAUACAAAAAAUAAUGAAUAAAAGCUAAAGAUCUAACUACUCAACCUUCACAAUUCCAGCUACUUGAUAAUAGGAGUAACCCAAUGAAUACUGUAUGGUCUGAAAGCUACUAUACAAUAUGAUUCUUAAGGAGGAAGAGGGAGGGAGGGAGGGAGGGAGUUAGAGACUGUCACAACGCCCUGGGUGCUUCUCUGGAGUUAGCAGGGAAACAGGACCCUGGGCAAGCAGCUCGGGUGCCCUAGGAGGUGAUUCUGGGAGAGGAUGGUGGGAGGGAAGGAGACACAGCGGGGUGGUCAGCUGGACAAGCAUCCGCAUGUGCCCCCCAUGUCCCAGUGGUGCCUGUCCUGCAUGGGGAAGCCACAUGUGCCAGGCAGGCCACUCCCUGCCACAGGGGUGUGGAGAAGAGCGAGGUUCUGUGGUACUUUUGAGCCUUGAAAAGAGAGAGACUCAAAACCUGAGAGCCUCAGUUCACUCUGCAGCUCUAACUUGCACGUGUCCGCCCCAGGGUGGCUCUAGCUAUUCACAGGCUGAAUGCUGACGGAGGGAAGUCAUGUCUCUUAGGGGAAAGGAUCAGCUCAUCACUCGCUAUAUAACGCAGCCAAACGGGCUGCCCAACAAGCACGCACACAAGAAAUACUGUUAACAGAAAAUACAAGAAACCACCUAAGCUAGGAGUCCUGAUGGGGACAGACAGCGACUAAAGCGCGUCAGUCCCCGGAAAAGACAAACCAAAAGCAUUUUCUGAAAAACUCAAAAACUCGCGUGCCCCUGGGAAUCUGGCAUUGGUAACCGGAAGAGGGAGGGAAGGAAAGAGCAUCGCUGUUCCCUUUUUGCCUGCCAGGGUGAAAGCAGCCCCACCCAGCGCUGGCAAGUACAGAGGGCUGCCCCCGAGGUGGGAGGUCUCUGCAAAGGCAAGGGUGAGUUUUGGCUGAUGGGCAGUUCUCAGUUACCAAUCCCUGCCAGCCAGCACCGCCAUGGCUGAACUCAUCUACCGUUUUUUCCUGAGUACACUGUAACUGGCUACAGUUUCGGUAACUUGCAUAAGAACAUGGCUUCCACAGCCAACCACAAUACUUCAGGGACCCGCGCCCCCUGACUCACUUCUAUUGCCUCGCUGAAGAGUUUGGCAAUCUGUGGUAGUUGGUGAGCCUUUCGAAAGGAAAGUUGCCAAGGGACUGUCCUGCACUCAGUAAUCUAGAGGGCACAUGCUGGCUUAGGACACCCAGAGCCUGCUUGGGAUGGGGCCCUGUUUCCCGCUCUAGCCCAGGGAUGGCAACUGCCUGGCUGAUGAGGAAGCAAGGAGAAAGGAGGUACACAGGAGAGGGGAUGGGUGGGAAGAGGCUUCCGGACAGCAACAUUUCCAAAAAUAUAGUGUUUUAUGAAACAGAGAAUCAAGUGUCACUGGUGUAUACUACAAAUGAUCAGACAUUCUCAAGAGCAUGACAAAAGAAAACACACGUUUACAUUAGAUGUUCACCGUGCCCACUAUUGUUUCCUAUUUGAAAACAGUGCAAACAGGUAACUUAUGCUUUAAACACCAAGACCCCUUCCCCACCCCCCAAAGUCCCUUUCCUCCUAAUAUCUGGGAGAAAAGUCUGCAAUUUUGCAAACAUUGCCAUGCUAGAGGUUUGAGUAGUGGAGAACUGGCUGGGCCAGAGGGGAAGGUUGGCCAGGCAGCUUCCCGCCCCCUCCCCCCCUUCCUGGCACACCCGAGUUCCAGACUGCCCUUGAUUGGCCUUGUUCGCCUGGCGCAGGGAGGGGCGCACUAUGCUCUUCUUGCAUAGGCUCACAUCCUUCUCAUCUCAGUGUCUGGAAGCUACAUGACUAGGUACAGGACGGAGGUGGUCGCGGACCUGCCCGCUGUGCCUCAAAGAAAGCACAGCCUAAACCAAACAGUUCAGCCCCGAGGAGUCCAUGCUUGAGGAAAAGCCACAAGCUCUCCUUAAACUAAGAGCCAAGCGCCAGGCAGUUUCCAAGGGAAGGAAACACGGCUCAGUUCAGACAGCGGCUGCUGCAGGGUGGCGGUGGUGGAGGUUCCUGGAAACCUGAGAGCCUUAAAAUGACAAGGAGCAUGGUGCUUCUGGGCUGAGGUUGAACUAAGUAACACAGAAAUUCUAGAAAAGACCUAAGGCAGCUCUCCGGGCUGAAAGAGGAACAUCCAGACAAACAUUUUCACUACAAGUCUCCUUAAAGGAAUCCAGCUUCUAGUAAUAUUCGCAGCAUAGAAAGCCCAGGCCACAGAGGCCUGCAAAACUGCAAACACCCUUCUCACACUGCGAUUCAGCGUCAGCCAUCUUUUUGAAAUCAUCACCCAGAAUCCUCUAACAGAGUCAUAAAAUGCCCGUCUCCUCUAGCCUGCUUCCUAAAUCAGUCCAACAAGCCAGCACAGUGGCCUUGAGGAUCAACCAUGAGGCCAACAUAGUGAAAUCCAGACACUUGGGGGAGCCAGCUCUCAGUGCUCACCCUGAAAUCCAACGACCUUUGCAUAAAAAGCCAACUCCAUCUAGUCUUCCUUGGAAAAGGGCCUGAGGAAGUGGCAUCGGAGAGUGUCCUUGUCCACGCAGCAGAGAUGCACUGGCAAACAGACUGGCCUUGGAGGCCUCAGCCAGAACCAGCUGAACUGAAGUGCAUGAAGGCCCCUCAGGCCCUGCAGCAUGGGCCAUGGGACUGUCCUCUUCACCCUGCGUGGCCACCCUUUCCUGUCUAGGAAAGAAGAAGCCUUCUUCAACUCUCUCUCCCUUCCUACCAUCUGUGGAUACAACUGUUGAGAGACUGGCCUCGUCUCCACUAGGUGAAGGGCUUGCCUUUCUGUGAGAAUGGCCCUUAUUAAACAAAGACCCAAAAUGUCUGUUCCUUUAGCCAGUAAAUUUUCUCAAAAAGAAACAAGAGAAAGAAAAACCCCUCUGCCCCCAUUCUCUAGAACUCCAAAAGGCCCCAGCCCAUCCCUUCCCCUUACUAAAAUAUUUAUGUACAUACAAUGAAAACUGUCC